UGGGGAAUUUUGGACAAUGGGCGAAAGCCUGAUCCAGCAAUGCCGCGUGUGUGAAGAAGGCCUUCGGGUUGUAAAGCACUUUUGUCCGGAAAGAAAUCCUUGGCUCUAAUACAGUCGGGGGAUGACGGUACCGGAAGAAUAAGCACCGGCUAACUACGUGCCAGCAGCCGCGGUAAUACGUAGGGUGCAAGCGUUAAUCGGAAUUACUGGGCGUAAAGCGUGCGCAGGCGGUUUGCUAAGACCGAUGUGAAAUCCCCGGGCUCAACCUGGGAACUGCAUUGGUGGCUGGCAGGCUAGAGUAUGGCAGAGGGGGGCUAGAAUUCCACGUGUAGCAGUGAAAUGCGUAGAGAUGUGGAGGAAUACCGAUGGCGAAGGCAGCCCCCUGGGCCAAUACUGACGCUCAUGCACGAAAGCGUGGGGAGCAAACAGGAUUAGAUACCCUGGUAGUCCACGCCCUAAACGAUGUCAACUAGUUGUUGGGGAUUCAUUUCCUUAGUAACGUAGCUAACGCGUGAAGUUGACCGCCUGGGGAGUACGGUCGCAAGAUUAAAACUUAAAGGAAUUGACGGGGUCAUAGCUGUUUCCU
This 586-nucleotide ribosomal RNA is filed under the name uncultured bacterium. RNAcentral's name for it is "partial 16S ribosomal RNA". It matches the Rfam family "Bacterial small subunit ribosomal RNA", at positions 355 to 1375 of the family's 1533-position model. The record is from RNAcentral.